GAAGUGGUGGUUCAGUGGUAGAAUUCUUGCCUUUCAUACCAGAGACCCAGGUUCGAUUCCUGGCCAGUGCA
RNAcentral lists this transfer RNA (71 nucleotides) under Loxodonta africana (African savanna elephant). It matches the Rfam family "tRNA". From Rfam's summary of the family: Transfer RNA (tRNA) molecules are approximately 80 nucleotides in length. Their secondary structure includes four short double-helical elements and three loops (D, anti-codon, and T loops). Lineage: Eukaryota; Metazoa; Chordata; Mammalia; Proboscidea; Elephantidae. The record is from Rfam by way of RNAcentral.